This 66-nucleotide transfer RNA is filed under the name Frieseomelitta varia. RNAcentral describes it as "tRNA-Trp". The record is from RNAcentral. Lineage: Eukaryota; Metazoa; Arthropoda; Insecta; Hymenoptera; Apidae.
AAAAUUUUAAGUUAAAUAAACUAUUAAUCUUCAAAAUUAAAAAAAUAUUUUUGAAUAUAAAUUUUA